This 363-nucleotide transfer-messenger RNA is filed under the name Dehalococcoidia. Its description in RNAcentral is "W-Chloroflexi-9 sp020634075 Standard tmRNA". It matches the Rfam family "transfer-messenger RNA". Rfam says of the family: Bacterial tmRNA, also known as 10Sa RNA or SsrA, is named for its dual tRNA and mRNA-like properties. Its role is to liberate the mRNA from a stalled ribosome. Lineage: Bacteria; Bacillati; Chloroflexota. The record is from RNAcentral. RNAcentral also lists the same sequence under 1 other name.
GGGGACGACAGGAUUCGACAGGUACGUUCCGGUGCGGAUCGCGGGUUGAGGUGCCGCCACCCUCACUAAUCAGGCGGCAAACGGAUAACUGGCAACCGUCAACUUGCCCUCGCUGCGUAACUAACGUAGCGACGUGGCCGUAGGCCCCACCUCGACGGGUUUGCGGCCGCGACGUUAAGUCGAGGUGCCGUGCGGACCUGCGUCUCAGGGUCGCCGCACGAAAGACCAACUGAGACUGGCCGGGUCAGCCCUCAACCGCCACCGGAUGGGCGCCGGCGAGAACAGUCCGUCGUGGCUACACCCGUAGACGUUCGUAUCAGUCGUGCUCUGGACGGGGAGUUCAAUUCUCCCCCGUCUCCACCA